RNAcentral lists this ribosomal RNA (55 nucleotides) under Xylaria sp. AAG5. RNAcentral describes it as "partial 28S ribosomal RNA". RNAcentral also lists the same sequence under 14 other names. The record is from RNAcentral. Lineage: Eukaryota; Fungi; Ascomycota; Sordariomycetes; Xylariales; Xylariaceae.
CUCGGAUCAGGUAGGAAUACCCGCUGAACUUAAGCAUAUCAAUAAGCGGAGGAAA